RNAcentral lists this long non-coding RNA (307 nucleotides) under Musa acuminata (dwarf banana). RNAcentral describes it as "long non-coding RNA (MACU_LNC010372)". The record is from RNAcentral. Lineage: Eukaryota; Viridiplantae; Streptophyta; Magnoliopsida; Zingiberales; Musaceae.
CUCUCCAUCUUCCCUCUCUUCUUCUUCUUCGUCUUCUUUUCUUCUCUUCUCCCUCUUCUUCCUAAUCUCUUCUUUUCCCUCCUCUUCUUCUUUUCUUCUCUUCUCCCUCAACUUCUCUUCUUCUUCUCCCCACGCCCCACCGCUUCUCUCUGUUUCUCGAAGAAACAGAGACGAGAAACAGAGAGAGCGUGGGAGGCGGUGGGAUAAAACCGAAAUUUUCGGUUUUCUUUAUUUUUUUUUUCUUUUUGCAACUUAACAGUUUAGUCCUUGAAAUUUCUAUAUUUACAUGUAGGUCCUCCAAUUUACA